This 293-nucleotide long non-coding RNA is filed under the name Elaeis guineensis (African oil palm). RNAcentral describes it as "long non-coding RNA (EGUI_LNC072965)". Lineage: Eukaryota; Viridiplantae; Streptophyta; Magnoliopsida; Arecales; Arecaceae. The record is from RNAcentral.
UCCUACCUGCUGGUGUGAGGUGUCACACCAUCACAUCUCAUCCCUCGAUUAAUUGAGUUGUGAAGCCAAUUGGAUUGGAGUUCAUCCUGCUUUUCUGCGGCGUCUGACAUGCAUACAAAGUAGAGGGUCUGCAUAUCCAGACCUCCGUGAAGAUUUAUAUCAAAUAAUUUAUGAUUUGAUCUCUGAUUUCACUACAAUUCAGGUAAGGAUUUGAUCCUUAAAUAAGUAGAAAACUAAAAAAAAUUUUUAGAUGCAACUUGGGCAUUCUGGAGGAAAACUGUUUCCUCCCCUUC